AGCCGUUAGGAAUCGUUGGCUCUUUCUGGCAGUUAUUUCAGCUUGUUCUUCGUAGAUAAAAGUGCCCCACGCAUCCGGAUUGAGACCCACUAUACGGUUGUCUGAGGUGUGUCGCACUGAGAUCGGUCAGGUUUUUUUUUUAUACUGGAUCAUUCCUGAAGUGGAUCCCUCCUUUGAUCUUGAUGGCGAGCCUUCCCACCUGGACCUAAAGAGAGAACCAGAUUUCGCCUAUCCCAUUUGGAGUCCUGCUGCACCCUGCGGUGUGGUAGGAGAGCAACAUACAUCUUCACACACGGUUAUGUGUGAGACCACCAACUGACAUUCUCCAUUAUUAUUGUUUUUUUAUUUAUUUAUUUUUGGACAAUACUUUUUGGAUUGUUUUAUUUCGGACAUUGUGACGCACAGCAGUGGUGGAAAUUGUCCUGUGAAUGAAGUUGAAUCAAACCAAAUUGGGAUUAAUUUGAUUAAUCUGCCGACUAAUACAAUUUGGAGUGCAGAUUACCAGGGUGCACCCGAAUUAUUUGAAAUUAAGAAUUAGCACUUGGCCAAGUAUUAUUGUUAUUAUUAUUUUUUGCAUUUUAUUGUGUGUAAUUUUAUUUUCAUAAUUGUGUGUUUUGUGCAACUGUUAAUUGUGUGAUUUCUGUCACUAAAACCA
This is a long non-coding RNA of Gambusia affinis (western mosquitofish), 655 nucleotides long. RefSeq lists it as uncharacterized. Lineage: Eukaryota; Metazoa; Chordata; Actinopteri; Cyprinodontiformes; Poeciliidae. The record is from RefSeq and is a predicted model, not a curated record. The transcript has 3 exons.